This 611-nucleotide ribosomal RNA is filed under the name uncultured Staphylococcus sp. Its description in RNAcentral is "bacterial SSU rRNA". It matches the Rfam family "Bacterial small subunit ribosomal RNA", at positions 62 to 655 of the family's 1533-position model. Lineage: Bacteria; Bacillati; Bacillota; Bacilli; Caryophanales; Staphylococcaceae. The record is from RNAcentral.
UCGAGCGAACAGACGAGGAGCUUGCUCCUCUGACGUUAGCGGCGGACGGGUGAGUAACACGUGGAUAACCUACCUAUAAGACUGGGAUAACUUCGGGAAACCGGAGCUAAUACCGGAUAAUAUAUUGAACCGCAUGGUUCAAUAGUGAAAGACGGUUUUGCUGUCACUUAUAGAUGGAUCCGCGCCGCAUUAGCUAGUUGGUAAGGUAACAGCUUACCAAGGCAACGAUGCGUAGCCGACCUGAGAGGGUGAUCGGCCACACUGGAACUGAGACACGGUCCAGACUCCUACGGGAGGCAGCAGUAGGGAAUCUUCCGCAAUGGGCGAAAGCCUGACGGAGCAACGCCGCGUGAGUGAUGAAGGUCUUCGGAUCGUAAAACUCUGUUAUUAGGGAAGAACAAAUGUGUAAGUAACUAUGCACGUCUUGACGGUACCUAAUCAGAAAGCCACGGCUAACUACGUGCCAGCAGCCGCGGUAAUACGUAGGUGGCAAGCGUUAUCCGGAAUUAUUGGGCGUAAGGCGCGCGUAGGCGGUUUUUUAAGUCUGAUGUGAAAGCCCACGGCUCAACCGUGGAGGGUCAUUGGAAACUGGAAAACUUGAGUGCAGAAGA